RNAcentral lists this ribosomal RNA (253 nucleotides) under uncultured bacterium. RNAcentral's name for it is "partial 16S ribosomal RNA". It matches the Rfam family "Bacterial small subunit ribosomal RNA", at positions 524 to 776 of the family's 1533-position model. The record is from RNAcentral.
UACGUAGGGGGCAAGCGUUGUCCGGAUUCAUUGGGCGUAAAGAGCGUGUAGGCGGCCAGGUAGGUCGGUUGUGAAAACCCGCGGCUCAACCGCGGGCCUGCAGCCGAUACGGGCAGGCUGGAGUUCGGUAGGGGAGACUGGAAUUCCUGGUGUAGCGGUGAAAUGCGCAGAUAUCAGGAGGAACACCGAUGGCGAAGGCAGGUCUCUGGGCCGAUACUGACGCUGAGGAGCGAAAGCGUGGGGAGCGAACAGG